This 60-nucleotide transfer RNA is filed under the name Hyalomma aegyptium. RNAcentral describes it as "tRNA-Tyr". It matches the Rfam family "tRNA". Rfam says of the family: Transfer RNA (tRNA) molecules are approximately 80 nucleotides in length. Their secondary structure includes four short double-helical elements and three loops (D, anti-codon, and T loops). Further hydrogen bonds mediate the characteristic L-shaped molecular structure. tRNAs have two regions of fundamental functional importance: the anti-codon, which is responsible for specific mRNA codon recognition, and the 3' end, to which the tRNAs corresponding amino acid is attached (by aminoacyl-tRNA synthetases). tRNAs cope with the degeneracy of the genetic code in two manners: having more than one tRNA (with a specific anti-codon) for a particular amino acid; and 'wobble' base-pairing, i.e. permitting non-standard base-pairing at the 3rd anti-codon position. The record is from RNAcentral. Lineage: Eukaryota; Metazoa; Arthropoda; Arachnida; Ixodida; Ixodidae.
GGUAAAAUGGCUGAAUUAGGCGAUAAAUUGUAAAUUUAUUAAUGGAAAUUCCUUUUACUA